This 337-nucleotide unclassified non-coding RNA is filed under the name soil metagenome. RNAcentral describes it as "partial contains 5.8S ribosomal RNA, internal transcribed spacer 2, and large subunit ribosomal RNA". The stretch from base 1 to 120 matches the Rfam family "5.8S ribosomal RNA", at positions 35 to 154 of the family's 154-position model. The record is from RNAcentral.
GAUGAAGAACGUAGCGAAAUGCGAUAAGUAGUGUGAAUUGCAGAAUUCAGUGAAUCAUCGAAUCUUUGAACGCACAUUGCGCCCCUUGGUAUUCCAUGGGGCAUGCCUGUUCGAGCGUCAUUUGUACCUUCAAGCUCUGCUUGGUGUUGGGUGUUUGUCACGCCUCUGCGUGUAGACUCGCCUCAAAACAAUUGGCAGCGGGCGUAUUGAUUUCGGAGCGCAGUACAUCUCGCGCUUUGCACUCAUAACGACGACGUCCAAAAGUACAUUUUUACACUCUUGACCUCGGAUCAGGUAGGGAUACCCGCUGAACUUAAGCAUAUCAAUAAGCGGAGGA